CCCGCCUCGCUCCCGCUUCCCCCCGCCGCCCCAAACUCCUUCCUAAGGACCGUGGGAUGCUGGUGAGCUCUGGUGAGAGUUGCCGGUCUCCAAUUCCAAACGGGGAGCCGCCGGGAGCGGUGAGGCAGCCGUGCCGGGGGAGAGUGGUCGGGGGGAUAGGGAGGCAAUGAAGGAAGGAGGCGGGGGGGCGCAUCCACGCACAUCCCCUCUCCCCCCGUUUGGCGCACCCCCUGCUCCCGGGAAGGUGCAGCCCCCGCGCCCCUCCCGGCCCGGCGCUGUCAGCGCAGCGGCGGCUCCGCGACCCCCGACGGGGCUCCCGCCGCGCCCCGCACGACUCCCCUCGUCCUCCCCCACGCGUGUGCGGAGCGUGCAGGGACACACUCACCUCGCCACUGAGGGUCCCUCUUUUCCUUUAUCUCCCUUCUUUUCCUAUCCCUUCCCCCCCGCAAAAGAAACCUCAAAAAACCCAAAAAACCCCAACCCCCCAAAAGCCCAAUAAUUUGCAUACCGUUUGUCACCCUCGCUCAGUAUUCCCCCCCCCCCCCCCCACUUCUUUAAUCCCCCCCUUCACCCCCGCCCAGACCGACCCUACUCCCUCGCAAGCCGGGUGCAACCGGAUGGCAAAAAUCAAAGCUGGAUCCAAUUUACCCCAGUUGUCUUCCUUUGAACACUCAUAAGGAGUCUGCCCCUGAUUUUAGUCCAGAGGAGCUACUCUUUGAAAUGGUGUGUCCAGCUUUGGCGUUUGCCUGCUGAGGAAGAGGCCUGCUCUCUUCUCCACUCUUGGUACAUGGAUUUUUCUCUCUCCAAGUAAUUCCUCGGCAUCGCCUUGAAAGACAUCUGCCACACUAGAUAACUUUUUCAACCCACAAGACUGAAACAACUUCCCUUAAUUGAAAUGACUCCAGAACAGCUAUUCCCUAGAAGACAUCUUCCUUGAUUUCUUGCGAGGCCUAUAAGAUGACUGGAGUUGUAGGAUGUCUGAAGUAGAAAAGAGUGCCAGAGACACCACAGAACAUGGGAAAUGUUGUCCUGCUUCUGAGGUUCAGAUAUACAACUCAACCAUGGGCAGCUGAGGAUGGACUUUCUACCUCCAUAGGUUUCUGUGGACAAAGACAUAAUUUUGAGCUGCCAGCAUCCCCAAAGAUGUCAGAAAUGUCAUUCACCUGUACCUCCUUCCUGAUGAAACAUGCUGGACCCAUACAUUUACAUGCUGUUCAAUCAGGACCACGCACAUGUGCAAGUAGUACCUGACUUCUGCAGUCUCCCAUUUACUGUACCACACACCUCCACGCCAGGUCAGAGGAAGACCCCUUUGAAAAUGAGGCACUUGAUGAUUGCAGAGGGUAGGGAUCUUGCUCUCAUGUCACAGCUUGGCGUUAUGCCUUCAUCAGGGUAUUAGAAAAGGCUCAGGGAAAAUGGUUACAGCUAUUCUAUUGCCUAAGACACUUCCUGCAGCUACUGCCUUUCCUUAGAAUUACCAAUCCAAGUGGUGACCCUGCCUGACCCUACUUAUCUUGUAAAAGCUGACAAGAUCACAGCCUGAAGCAGUAUAGCCACAGGCUCAAUACCGGCUACCAAAAUGUCUGUUUAGUAUUUUCAAGAAAUGCUGCUCUAAAGAUUUACAAUACCAGCUGCUAGAUACAUGAACAACACCAGCACACAGCUCUGACCCCUGAACAUUCAGCCCCACUUACACAGAAAUUUGUGUCUCUCAAGAGGCCAACACCGAACUGCUACCAAACAGUGAUUCCCUACCUGCAAGCACACUGGAUUUUUAGCACUAUUUGAUUAUAUAUACUAAGAUAUUAGGUAAAAGUAUUUGAAAACUAGUUUGAGUUCAGAAUUCAUUGUUAUCUUUUUUUCAUCAGUUGCAUUACUGCUUUAGCAACAGAAAGAGUUCUACCAUUUCUGUGUAGUACAUUUUUUUAUUUCAGUGUAGAGAAUUUUCUUCAUCCUUCCAUGACCAAAGUAGUUUUUCAUCAGAAGUUAUUUUUAGAUGAACUCUAAGUUUCUUUCCUAGCAAACAUUUUAGCUGCACUGUAUGAAAGGAAAUUCACAUUUCCCUAGAUAUCUCUAAGGAUAAACACAGGUUUAAAUAUCCAAAAAGAUCUUGGGGAACAAUCUGGUUUAUAUAUAUACAUUCAUGUAGCAGAUGCAGUAAGAGUUCUUGCAGAGUAGUGUGGCUUUUUUUAACCCUUUUCUUUUUAGAACAGCAAAGACAUGGAAAAGACAUUGAGGUCCUGUUGCUCCUGUGGAAACUUCUGUUGGCUGCAGCAUGAGUUGGAUUGGACCCAGAGAAACUGAAUACACACAAGUAAUGAUGAGUUGGCCAUACAAGCAAGGAAAAUCACAGAUAACAGGUGCACACCAAUUAGCAGUGUACCUUUUAGGUCAUCCAAUACAGCUCCGUGUCACAAUGAGAUUGUUUCAUAUGGUAUAUUUUUGUUUUUUUUUUUUUUGUUCCUAGAUUAAAUGCCCUGGUGAUGCCAUGUCUCUAGGGAGAGUUGUACUGCCUACAGUAUCUUUUGUCAGGAGCUUUUUUCCUUUCUUACCAUCAUCAUAUUUCUUUUUACAACCCUUUGCAAAUUUCCUUCUUUCCCUUCAUUGAUAUCUUUUAACUAGUGCGAUGUGUUUAGUUAACAUUAAGCCAACCCAUAGAUAUUUGGAUCACUUAAUCUUCCCUAACCUAGAAGUCCUUUCAGUUUUCUUGUUACUCCUCAUCUAUUCUAGUCACGCUAGAUAGCCUGUCAAUAUCUUUUUUUAGCUAUGAGAUUCUAAACAUGCGAUACCUUUCUCUAAACUAGCAACAGAUCUGAUGUAGAGCUGAGCACCAUUCAUGUCUCCUCACUGAAAAUCUUUCCUGAUGUGCCCAGAGGAAAGCUGCCAGCACUCUGAACAGGCAUACAGGUAGAGUGCUCAAACCACUUCCUUGGUGCCUCUUACUCUGUUGGCCAACAAAAUCCUAUUGAAACAGUUGACGUAGUAGUUCAAAAAACAAAUGCAUUUCAUUAUGGAUUUAUUUUAUUUCUCAUAAUGUAAAAAAGACAGAUUAGUACAGAUAAAAAGACCUUUGUUGCUGUUUUUGAGAUUUUCUAGUUCUUGGUCAUGGAUGUCAUAUUCUAAAAUUAUGGAAGACGUCAGCUUCCAUAACUAUGUCUGAGUGCUAGGAAAGUACGUUGUAGAAAGUAAUUACAUACAUACUCGCAAGCCUAGCUGUUCACUUCAAGCAAUAAAUUCUGACCUACAAACAACACUCCUUUAGAGCUAAAUAUGAUCUUGGUUGUAAUGGACUGUCUUUACCUUAGUGUUCUGUUGUAUUGGAGGAAUAUAAUUUUAAUCUGCUGUCUUUAAAUUUUCAUUAAGGAACAUUUCAGCUACCUGCAGCCUCAUCUGAUGAUGUUUAAUGAUAUCAGCUAGCUUGAUCUUCCUCCAUGCACCAGCAGGGACUUCUUUAAAUUGCUCAACUGUAUGGAACACUGUUUUCAAGUUUAAUGUACUUGGAAUUGACCUUUUAAAGUAAUGGCAUUUCUAAUUUUAGAUAUUUAAAUACAAUUUAAAUACACAGCACACACAUAUGUUUGCAUUUAUAUGUGCGUGUGUGUACACCUAUAUAUAUAUAUAUAUAUAAGUGCACACAUAUGUAUAGAAAUGCUGAUUCUAUUCACCUUUUUAAAAUCAUUACAGCUAGUAUUAACAUGAAUGUGCUGUUAAAUUGGCAGUGUUAUACAUUUUUGUUGGAGUUUACUUCUGUAACAUAAAACCAGAAAGAUAAGCUGUGAAACUCGUGCAGCUGAUGACAUAAUUCUAGAAUCUCAUGAUGCUGAAUCUCAUAUUGCUAGGAGUGUGGGAUGGAUGUUCUUUGCUGAAAUAAUUAUACUGUCUCUUGCAAUAUAUGUUUCCUUGUUUUCAUGUGGGUGCUGAGAAAUCCAAAUCAUUAAACAUAAAUGGUACAAUGA
This is a long non-coding RNA of Corapipo altera (White-ruffed manakin), 3956 nucleotides long. RefSeq lists it as uncharacterized. The record is from RefSeq and is a predicted model, not a curated record. Lineage: Eukaryota; Metazoa; Chordata; Aves; Passeriformes; Pipridae. The transcript has 6 exons.